UGUCUUUUGGCUUUGGACUAAUACCAUGCUAAGAUCAAGUGUAGUUAUAUGGUGAGGUCUGUCCCUUGCACUCUGGGCAGGCUGACUCUUGCAAGUUUCCUCAAACGUGGAAAUGUGACUGCACAAUUUUGUGGCAAGAGGGGACUGCGUUUGUGCUUUCACCCA
Alligator sinensis (Chinese alligator) is the source of this 165-nucleotide small nuclear RNA. RefSeq annotates it as U1 spliceosomal RNA. The record is from RefSeq and is a predicted model, not a curated record. The transcript has a single exon. Lineage: Eukaryota; Metazoa; Chordata; Crocodylia; Alligatoridae.